AUUGAACGCUGGCGGCAGGCCUAACACAUGCAAGUCGAGCGAGCGGCGGACGGGUGAGUAAUGUAUGGGGAACUGCCUGAUGGAGGGGGAUAACUACUGGAAACGGUGGCUAAUACCGCAUACCAUCGGAUGAGCCCAGAUGGGAUUAGCUUGUAGGUGGGGUAAAGGCUCACCUAGGCGACGAUCUCUAGCUGGUCUGAGAGGAUGAUCAGCCACACUGGGACUGAGACACGGCCCAGACGCCUACGGGAGGCAGCAGUGGGGAAUAUUGCACAAUGGGCGCAAGCCUGAUGAAGCCAUGCAGCGUGUAUGAAGAAGGCCUUAGGGUUGUAAAGUACUUUCAGCGGGGAGGCGUUACCCGCAGAAGAAGCACCGGCUAACUCCGUGCCAGCAGCCGCGGUAAUAC
Molecule: ribosomal RNA, 406 nt
Filed under: uncultured bacterium
Lineage: Bacteria
Description: partial 16S ribosomal RNA
Rfam family: Bacterial small subunit ribosomal RNA
Source: RNAcentral